AUAUCAAAAUUUAGCUACCAAAUUCGUUACUGUAAAAUACAGUAACGGAUUUGGUAGCAAUCUUUAUUUUUUCAUUAGUAUAAGUAUUUGUUAUUCUACUUGUAUUAUGCAUGCAUGUCUGUUAGCAUUAAUGCAUAUUAGAAACAUUUUUAUUAUAAAUCUUUGUCAGCAUGCAUAUUAUAAUGUGUGAUAAAAAAUAUGAUCAUAAAAAAAAAAGAAUUUAGAGAAAUUAAAAGAAGUUCUAUGUAUUGUGUGCGAGUGUUAGUGGUGGCAGCGUCAGAGGCAGAAGACUGCACACACGUGAGCACACCGUACCGAAAAAUAAAUAAUAAUAAUGAGGUUCAAAAAUUUGAAAUGUUUUGAGAAGAAAAAAACAAGCAAGUUCUACUUUAUUUAAUUUGUUCAAUUGCAUUGGAAACAACGCCCUCUAUCUUCAAUCUUCAUCCCUUUUUUUUCUUCUCCCAUUCACGUGUAGUUUUAAGCAACAAUGUUAUAAAGGGGCACAGGCACAGUGAUACUGGCUUUUGUUUUCUUUCUACUUGGAUUUUGGAUAUUAGGUGAAAACUCAGGUGAAGUCGACUUUACGUGAAGUUGAUAGUUGAGAGCCGUUUGAUGAAAAUUUAGUCAAAUAAAUCAAAUCAUCUAAUGGCUCUUAGGUAUCAAAUUCACGUGAAGUCGACUUCACCUGAGUUUCCACCUGGAUAUUAAUUUUCUACAUGGCAUUUUAUAUAUUCAAUGUAAUUUUAUUUAUUUGAUUCAACAAACUUCACCAUUAAUUUGCAAAUCUAUAUAUUGAGAUCAUGCAUGUAGAUAUGUAAUGGUCACAGAGAUUUUCCCAAAAAAUUGGGAACUCGAAUUUGCUAGUACGAAUGUUUUGAGAAGCUGAGAGUGUGUUCAUGGUAGAAAAUGGACAACACAUGGGGCAACUUAGCUUAGCUUGCAUUUAUUGAUGCUGGUCCCAUUGUUCAUUCACUUUCAUCAAUUUGGCAAAAUAAUUCCUCUCUUUUCAUGAUAUCAAAGAGAAGCCUCAAAUUGGUAGCUUGAUAUGGAGUUGUUUGUGUGUAUCAGAUUUUUGGCAUAAUCCACUGGGCCCUC
Molecule: non-coding RNA, 1095 nt
Organism: Arachis ipaensis
Lineage: Eukaryota; Viridiplantae; Streptophyta; Magnoliopsida; Fabales; Fabaceae
Source: RefSeq, a predicted model, not a curated record